GGGGUGGUGAGAAGGCCCGGGGGCCAGCAGCAGGAUCUGGUAGACUCUGGGGAUGCAGCGUUCACUCCCUGCCAGCCAGGCGGCUGUGCGGCCUCAGAGCCAGCGGGCUGCUGAGGGGCUACAGGCCUCUGGCUGCACUGUCUGAGCUCUCCCUGGAUCUCCUGGCUUAGCACCUCUCUGCCCCUCCUCUGGGCCACUGCUGGGAUAGCAUGUGCUCUGUGUGGAAUAACAAGGCUGGCUGGACAACACUGACUAGGCCUGCAGUGGGAGUGCCUUCAAGGCCCGGCCAGAAGGAAGCAGGAGUCCUAAGGGACCUGACCAAGGGAGAAUCAGAUUCUUCCGGAGAACUGCAUUCCUGGGCUGGUGCUGAGGUGCUACAUCCUCCUUUCUUUCCUCAUGAAGAAGUUUUGAGAAAAGCUGAAUCACUCAGCCUAAAGAAAGCCCGAGGAAGUAUAAAGAAGUCCUGGAAAUCCCCUGGAAAAAAGUGCCAGGUAGUGUUUGAGUUCGUCUUUGUUGUCAAGUGUUUGGCUCUGUCACAGUUGUGGCAGCUCGAGGUUCCCGGCAGAGGAGCAGUGGGGAGUAGGAAGUGGAGUUUUGCAUACAUGAAAUCUGGUGCAGAGGUGGGAAAAGGAGGGCAGGCUGGUCUCGAAGCUCUUGGAGCAGGGACACGGGACAUGAGCAGGGACACAAGAGCAGCAGCACCUAGGGAAUGCGGCUGAGUUCUCAGCCAAUAGAGGAUGGAAGCUGGAGAGCUGAAGGCCACACACCAGUGUUCCAACUUGGCCAGCCGGACUGCAGACAGGCAGGCAGGGCAGAGUAGGCAGCUGCUCCAAGCACAUUCCAGGAAGUUGUGAGUUUGUGGGAAGAAAAGUGGCAAGUAAACUCCCCCCCAAGUAGAGAUAAGCCAGGUGAUCUGAGGGAACUGAAAGCCAGCCCAGGAGUAAGGUUCAAGAAUGAGCAAUGGCUGGGGGCAAGACCCCAGACAAGCAAUCUAAACUAGGACUUGGGAUAGUUCUUCUGAAAGGGAAGAUCUUAACCCCAAAGCAGCUUUCCUUCCUGCUGGAAACCCUCUUAGAUAAGAUAAGAUGAAUGCGAUUCUUUGGCGACAAACAUACUACCCAAAUAAUUGUUGGAAAAUAAUACAUUCUUCACCACCUCUCACCUGGACUAUUUGUUGCACAGCUUCUUACCUUGUCUCCCGGCUUUUGGUCUUCCUCAGUCUUCCCUCAUCCACUUGCCAAAGCAGUUCUUCUACAACACAAGUCUGAUCACAUCUCCCCUCUGCCGAGGCCUCCCACCAGCUGCCUAUUGUUCACACCAGGUUCUGGAAGAUGUUUUGGUGAACCCACGUUCUGUGAGUCUAAUUCUGUGAGGUAAACAGCCAUGAAAGGGUGUGUAGUUAGGUAAAUUGGGAAUUCUACAGACUAUAUUCUCUGUUUUAAGACAUUUCCGAUGGAGAUGCAUUUUCAAGGUUCUGAGAAGUACUGUAACAAUUUGUUGAAAAAAUAUCAAUAAAAUACAAACAUUUUAAAAUCAUGGUUCUGUUCUCUCUCUGUUCAGAAAUAUUGAACUAUAGAGGAAAAAUAUCCACCUUGCUUAACAUAAAGCACAUGUGGUCUUUUGGGCCGAGCCCUUCCUUGUCUGCUGUUUAUUUCUCAUCAGUCCUCCUCCUGAGUUCAGAAUCUACUCUUCUCAACAAAAACAGUUUGUGCAACUUCCCUAACCCCUGUCUGUAAAAUGUUACUUAUUUUUAAAAAGCUUGCUCAGAUAUAACCUCUAUAGGAAGCUGACUUUUUUUCCUCCAGUACUGGGCACAGAACUCAAGACCUUGUACUUUCAAGGCAGACGCAGUGCUACUGAGC
This is a long non-coding RNA of Heterocephalus glaber (naked mole-rat), 1862 nucleotides long. The record is from Ensembl. NCBI's taxonomy places the organism in Eukaryota, Metazoa, Chordata, Mammalia, Rodentia, Bathyergidae.